UUAAACCCAACAAACGCUUAA
Molecule: microRNA, 21 nt
Filed under: Drosophila virilis
Lineage: Eukaryota; Metazoa; Arthropoda; Insecta; Diptera; Drosophilidae
Description: dvi-miR-9702-3p
Source: miRBase by way of RNAcentral